UACGUAGGGUGCAGGCGUUAAUCGGAAUUACUGGGCGUAAAGCGUGCGCAGGCGGCUUUGCAAGACAGAUGUGAAAUCCCCGGGCUUAACCUGGGAACUGCAUUUGUGACUGCAUGGCUGGAGUGCGGCAGAGGGGGAUGGAAUUCCGCGUGUAGCAGUGAAAUGCGUAGAUAUGCGGAGGAACACCGAUGGCGAAGGCAAUCCCCUGGACCUGUACUGACGCUCAUGCACGAAAGCGUGGGGAGCAAACAGG
RNAcentral lists this ribosomal RNA (253 nucleotides) under uncultured bacterium. RNAcentral describes it as "partial 16S ribosomal RNA". It matches the Rfam family "Bacterial small subunit ribosomal RNA", at positions 524 to 776 of the family's 1533-position model. The record is from RNAcentral.